GAUGAACGCUGGCGGCGUGCCUAAUACAUGCAAGUCGAGCGAACAGAUAAUGAGCUUUCUCUUUUGACGUUAGCGGCUGACGGGUGAGUAACACGUGCGUCACCUACUUAUUUUUCUUGGAUAACUCCGUAGGACCACUUCCACUGCUGGAUCAUAUUUCCUACCGCUUGAUUCUAAAGUUCUUCGUGCCUUUGCUAUUUCUUUUAGCUGGACUCGCGCCGGAUUAGCUAGUUGGUAAGGUAACGGCUUACCAAGGCAACGAUACGUAGCCGACCUGAGAGGGUGAUCAGCCACACUGGAACUGAGACACGGUCCAGACUCCUACGGGAGGCAGCAGUAGGGAAUAUUCCGCAAUGGGCGAAAGCCUGACGGAGCAACACCGCGUGAGUGAAGAAGGUCUUCGGAUCGUAAAACCCUGUUAUUAGGAAAGAACAGAAGUAUAAGUAAAUGUGGACGUCUUGACGGUACCUAAAGAAAAAGCAACGGCUAACUACGUG
Molecule: ribosomal RNA, 497 nt
Filed under: uncultured bacterium
Lineage: Bacteria
Description: partial 16S ribosomal RNA
Rfam family: Bacterial small subunit ribosomal RNA
Source: RNAcentral